This 462-nucleotide ribosomal RNA is filed under the name uncultured bacterium. RNAcentral describes it as "partial 16S ribosomal RNA". It matches the Rfam family "Bacterial small subunit ribosomal RNA", at positions 28 to 507 of the family's 1533-position model. The record is from RNAcentral.
GACGAACGCUGGCGGCGUGCUUAACACAUGCAAGUCGAACGGAAAGGCCCUUCGGGGUACUCGAGUGGCGAACGGGUGAGUAACACGUGGGUGAUCUGCCCUGCACUUUGGGAUAAGCCUGGGAAACUGGGUCUAAUACCGGAUAGGACCACGGCAUUCAUGUGCUGUGGUGGAAAGCGUUUGCGGUGUGGGAUGGGCCCGCGGCCUAUCAGCUUGUUGGUGGGGUAAUGGCCUACCAAGGCGACGACGGGUAGCCGGCCUGAGAGGGUGACCGGCCACACUGGGACUGAGAUACGGCCCAGACUCCUACGGGAGGCAGCAGUGGGGAAUAUUGCACAAUGGGCGCAAGCCUGAUGCAGCGACGCCGCGUGAGGGAUGACGGCCUUCGGGUUGUAAACCUCUUUCGCCAGGGACGAAGCGCAAGUGACGGUACCUGGAGAAGAAGGACCGGCCAACUACGUG